UACGAAGGGGACUAGCGUUGUUCGGAAUUACUGGGCGUAAAGGGCGCGUAGGCGGGAUGGCAAGUCGGUCGUGAAAUCCCUCGGCUCAACCGAGGAACGUCGAUCGAUACUGCUGUUCUUGAGGAUUGCAGAGGAGACUGGAAUUCCCGGUGUAGCGGUGAAAUGUGUAGAGAUCGGGAGGAACACCGGUGGCGAAGGCGGGUCUCUGGGCGAAUUCC
This 218-nucleotide ribosomal RNA is filed under the name uncultured bacterium. Its description in RNAcentral is "partial 16S ribosomal RNA". It matches the Rfam family "Bacterial small subunit ribosomal RNA", at positions 524 to 740 of the family's 1533-position model. The record is from RNAcentral.